Larimichthys crocea (large yellow croaker) is the source of this 546-nucleotide long non-coding RNA. RefSeq lists it as uncharacterized. The transcript is spliced from 3 exons. NCBI's taxonomy places the organism in Eukaryota, Metazoa, Chordata, Actinopteri, Sciaenidae. The record is from RefSeq and is a predicted model, not a curated record.
UCACUCCUGGGGGUUUUAAUCUGGACUCUCAUCAGGAAGUGAGAUGGCUUCAGCUGGUCUGAUUGGAGUUUCCACUGGCAACCCAGAGGUUCACCAGCUGUACUGAUGAUAUGCUUCCUAUCAUGGUGGAGAGAUGGUGAUUCAUUUUCUUUAACAAGUGUCAGAAAGAAGUCCAACUGCAGGUUACACACAAUGCACACACUCAAGUAACAUUGCAGAAGCCAGCAGCAGGUGCAGAGAGCUGAUUGGAAUCUGGCACAGUUACAUGAUGAUGACUCAUCGAAACACAUGCGAGAUGAGGAGGAAGAGGAAGCGGAGGGCAGGACCAAAUCAUCAGCUUCGCUCUCUAUAUCACCCGAUCUUUCUCAUGACUUUGUCAAAAGACACAUAGAUUUGGAAAAACAGAACUAAUUAAAACUUUUGUAUAAAACUGGAUCUAAUUGAGUGGGCUGAUUAAGUAGCUUUUCAGAUGUUCGCAAGGCCAUCAAUGCGCCAGAGCUACGAGCAAGGGUAAAGACUGCAUCAGCUUGGAUUGGAUCUGAGGUU